GGAAACAACACAGGGGAUUUUUGUGAGAUCACUGAAGUAUUAAUAAGGACAUACGUCAAGGCGACAACAGAUGAAACAACAGGACUGUCAACGGCACACCUCGCAGUGAUCAUCACAAUCUCCCUUGUGGCCAUUAUUGUUAUCAUCGUCGUAACCGUCGUCAUAAGACGUCGACGCCAGAGAAGAAAGUCAACCGGGAGUCAGACAGGUAAUGUAGCAAACGACAUUAGAGGGUUAGAUAUCUUCACACAUGGUAACUGCCACUGGGUAAUUGACCCUGGGAAACACCACCAUUUUUAUUCCCAACUCCGCAU
This is a long non-coding RNA of Haliotis rufescens (red abalone), 314 nucleotides long. RefSeq lists it as uncharacterized. The record is from RefSeq and is a predicted model, not a curated record. The transcript has 3 exons. NCBI's taxonomy places the organism in Eukaryota, Metazoa, Mollusca, Gastropoda, Lepetellida, Haliotidae.